AGAGCGAACGCUGGCGGCAGGCCUAACACAUGCAAGUCGAACGGACCCUUCGGGGUUAGUGGCGGACGGGUGAGUAACACGUGGGAACGUGCCUUUUGGUUCGGAAUAGCUCCUGGAAACGGGUGGUAAUGCCGAAUGUGCCCUUCGGGGGGAAGAUUUAUCGCCAUUAGAGCGGCCCGCGUCUGAUUAGCUAGUUGGUGAGGUAAAGGCUCACCAAGGCUACGAUCAGUAGCUGGUCUGAGAGGAUGACCAGCCACAUUGGGACUGAGACACGGCCCAAACUCCUACGGGAGGCAGCAGUGGGGAAUCUUGCGCAAUGGGCGAAAGCCUGACGCAGCCAUGCCGCGUGAAUGAUGAAGGUCUUAGGAUUGUAAAAUUCUUCACCGGGACGAUAAUGACGGUACCCGGAGAAGAAGCCCGCUAACUUCGUGCCAGCAGCCGC
This 442-nucleotide ribosomal RNA is filed under the name uncultured soil bacterium. Its description in RNAcentral is "bacterial SSU rRNA". It matches the Rfam family "Bacterial small subunit ribosomal RNA", at positions 26 to 518 of the family's 1533-position model. The record is from RNAcentral.